Small nuclear RNA from Monodelphis domestica (gray short-tailed opossum), 112 nucleotides. The record is from Ensembl. NCBI's taxonomy places the organism in Eukaryota, Metazoa, Chordata, Mammalia, Didelphimorphia, Didelphidae.
GUGCUUGGUUUACCAGCAUAUAUUCUAAAUUUGGAAUGAUUCAGAGAAAAUUAGUAUGGCUACCAUUAAAUGAUAACAUGCAAGUUUAUGAAGUAUUCCAUUAAAAAUUUUU